RNAcentral lists this ribosomal RNA (504 nucleotides) under Triticum aestivum (bread wheat). RNAcentral describes it as "partial small subunit ribosomal RNA". Lineage: Eukaryota; Viridiplantae; Streptophyta; Magnoliopsida; Poales; Poaceae. The record is from RNAcentral.
AUGAUUGAAUCAAGGGCGUCACAAUUUGCGGAUCUACCGCGCAGCAUAUUAGAUGCUGCAGAAUUUUAUCGAGUCGAAGAAGGGAACUCUACGGAGAAGUUGUUCUGGUCUCAAUACCUUGGACCAAAACUUCUAGUGCCCUUUAGCGACCAGCUGAAUCAACUGGUCGAGUUGCAUAAGGCGGCUGAACCAGCCAUGAAGGACUUAAUAGUCCAGCUAUGGCCUACCGAGCCUAUGCCCAACAGCUACUUCAAACUCGUCAAGCGGCUUGUGAGUGCCUUCCCGCGGCUUGAAGCCAUCAAGCAGUCGGUCUGUAUCGAAGGCCCGUGGAUGGCCUUUGCACGCUCUAAGGUGCACUGGGCAAAGAUGGAUGCCAAGAAGUUGAUGACCGAGGGGCCGCCUGAGGGCAAGGAGCACCGCCGACCCGGGCUGUAUUUUGAUAGUGUCCUGGAGGGAUCCCGCCUUGUGGCGGAACAAUGUGUCAAGGAUAUCAUAUUCCCGUGA